Molecule: non-coding RNA, 1407 nt
Organism: Paramuricea clavata
Lineage: Eukaryota; Metazoa; Cnidaria; Anthozoa; Malacalcyonacea; Plexauridae
Source: the annotation of a GenBank genome assembly
UCUCCGUGUAUCAUCAACGUGAAAACAAGCGCAGUAUUUAAGGUUGGUAUACUACAAUGCAUUACAGUUAUCGUGUUAUUUUAUAGUCAAAUUUCCGCUUUGUUGUUUUUAUUCUUGUACUGUAAUUUUAUAAAUACACUGUACAAAAUUAUGGCGUCAUACUUGUGUUUAUAAUGCCUCUACUCUAGUUUGACCCUAUUGUGUUCGCAGGCUACUAUUGUGUGUGUAUAUGUACUGUGUCACUGUGAUAGAUAUGUACAUGUUUUGAGUUAAACGAAUUGUUUAAUAAAUUUUUGCUGAAGUAUGAUGCCUGUUUGUAUUGGAUAGAUUUUAAAUAUAUGUGCAUUAGUGCAUACAGUAUAGUUACAUUGGUUCUCAGAUGAGUCUGAAGGUAUAUUGUUAUUCAGUAAUUUGUAUGUAUUGUUUUAUAAAUUUUUGCUGAGUAUGAUGCCUGUUUGUAUCUAGUUGUGAGAAUAUAAUUUUAGAUGUUACAUGUUUGCUAAUUUUAGAGAUGAUAAUGUAUCAAAUAAUAAUUUUCUUGUUAUGAUUUUGUAGAAAGAGAUUACUUGAGUGGUUGGCUGAUCUUGAGCCUAUUCAGGAUGGAUAUGAUAAUGAAAGAGGUGACAUGGCAUCAAGUGAUGACGUUUAAGUGAGAAGAUGAAAGUGAUGAGGAAGAAACCGCCCACGCUGUACCAUUCAAGCGCAUCAGUGCUGCUCGUGAGAAAAACUACCAACAUCAUUUGGAAAAUUAAAUUAAGGCACAAUACCUCACUCUUCAUGAACAAGAUAAAAUAGUCAAUGUAAGAAUAUGGCCAGCACCAUUGAAUCCAAGGGACCCAAGUGCAAUAGGCAAUUCCAGCUUUUAGUUUAUUUUAUUAAAAUUUUUCAGCAUAAUCAGCUAUAUGAUACAUUACUUCCUACCGCCCCUGCACACAUAAAUUAAAAGCUGGAAUUGCCUAUUGACUAGACUAUGGAACUGGAUGGACAACAUGUUGGUUAUAUUGCUUUUGAACUAUGCAAGUAUUUGCACCCACUAAUUGCUGCAGAUGUUGCGGAUGUCUGGUGGAAACAUUUCUAGUGGGGGUGCAAGCAGCACCACUGAGUGAGCUUUUUACAGGGGUUAGGAAUUAGGGUUAAAGACUUUUGAAGCAAAAUUUUGGUGGGGUUAAACACUUUAUAAGAGGGGUUAGAGAGAUUCUAAGCGGGGGGGGGGGGUAACCCCUCCUAACCCCCCCUCCCCCAGCAAAUCCGCCCAUGAUUUAAUCCAAACAUUUUCAUAACGAAACCUGGUGAGUGGAGACUCAAGUGGUAGGAAAAAGCAUGAGUGUAUGUUGACAGAUGUGUUUUAUAUAAUAAAUAGCAACUAGCUAUGUUUAGCAAGUUAUUAGUGCAUUUAUUUCAAUUGGC